RNAcentral lists this transfer RNA (76 nucleotides) under Vibrio cholerae. RNAcentral describes it as "tRNA-Thr". It matches the Rfam family "tRNA". From Rfam's summary of the family: Transfer RNA (tRNA) molecules are approximately 80 nucleotides in length. Their secondary structure includes four short double-helical elements and three loops (D, anti-codon, and T loops). Further hydrogen bonds mediate the characteristic L-shaped molecular structure. tRNAs have two regions of fundamental functional importance: the anti-codon, which is responsible for specific mRNA codon recognition, and the 3' end, to which the tRNAs corresponding amino acid is attached (by aminoacyl-tRNA synthetases). tRNAs cope with the degeneracy of the genetic code in two manners: having more than one tRNA (with a specific anti-codon) for a particular amino acid; and 'wobble' base-pairing, i.e. permitting non-standard base-pairing at the 3rd anti-codon position. The record is from RNAcentral. RNAcentral also lists the same sequence under 2 other names. Lineage: Bacteria; Pseudomonadati; Pseudomonadota; Gammaproteobacteria; Vibrionales; Vibrionaceae.
GCCUAGAUAGCUCAGUUGGUAGAGCAGCUCACUUGUAAUGAGCAGGUCGGGGGUUCGAAUCCGCCUCUAGGCUCCA